This 1070-nucleotide long non-coding RNA is filed under the name Cercocebus atys (sooty mangabey). Its description in RNAcentral is "lncRNA (ENSCATG00000045622.1)". The record is from RNAcentral. Lineage: Eukaryota; Metazoa; Chordata; Mammalia; Primates; Cercopithecidae.
AAAGGCAAGUCGCUGGACUUGAUCUGAGUGAAAUCAGAUACUGUGUUCCCUCCCUUGGAUGGAUGAUACACUCUGAAGUUGCUGAUUGCGCGCUAUAGCAGAAAAAGCAAUCUGCAGAGUACAAGAAUCUAGAGUACGAGAAAAAGCCCAGACCUCUCUGCUUGAUGAGACUUUUAUCAACCAUGUGGAACAACUUUAGGUUACUCAAUCACUGCAGCACUGAAAUAUUUUAAAAUUCCGAGCCAUGUGUUGCCACACACUAAACACAGAUUCAGCAAACCUUCCACUGUGGCAUGGUAGAGAACCCCAGGCUAAGGAUUAACAGACAUUCUGAAUUUGCAAACCAGAAAGAGCUGCACUUCAUCACUGCUUCAAGAAGGCACCUGGGACGGGAAGGCCUUCUGCUUUUCUGUCUUCCUCUCUGUGCUGUGAAGACGCAAGAACGAAGCGUAAGCAGCUGUGCUUGGUCAGAGGAAGGGUUCCGGGAAAGCCACACAGAAGAGAUAGCAUUGGACUGCGACCAGGACUAAAAAGAUGAUGUUGCCUUGGCAGACAACUGGAAAAACAUCAUAAGCAGAGAGAACAAUGUCUAAAAUAUCAACCAAGGUAUUUUGCAACCAGUUACGACUCUGAUUCUGAUUUUCAUGCUUCCUACCUCUUUCACCUUGGAGUACUGCACUCCCCUCAAUCCUCACCCAAGCUGUUGGGUUGACACAGGAGGAAAGUGAAGCCCAGAGGACAUAAUUUAUCUCCCUCCUUGAUACUGGCAUAUGAAGAAGCUGAGACAGAAGCUGAAGGAAUGGCCACAGGCGCCAAGGAUGGCCAAGGAGGCCCUUGAUGCUUCUGGUCCUGCUGGGACCACUGAACACACAUGGACCUCUCUGCAACUUGAGCACGGGAGGGUCAGGCUGGGUGACAAAGGCAUGAGCAGAGCUGCCCAGGGUGUCUCUGUGCAUGUUCAUCCCAGUCUUAGCAGAGCACAAUUUCAAUCCACGUUUCAGAUUCACCCAGAUGCCUUGGAUAAUUUGUUUUGGAAAACAUAUAUUGAAGUUACCAGAGCCACAGUAUGA